GGCAUGGCCGAGUGGUAAGGCGGGGGACUGCAAA
RNAcentral lists this transfer RNA (34 nucleotides) under Haplostachys linearifolia. Its description in RNAcentral is "partial tRNA-Cys". Lineage: Eukaryota; Viridiplantae; Streptophyta; Magnoliopsida; Lamiales; Lamiaceae. The record is from RNAcentral.